UACGAAGGGGGCUAGCGUUGCUCGGAGUCACUGGGCGUAAAGGGCGCGUAGGCGGACUCUUAAGUCGGGGGUGAAAGCCCAGGGCUCAACCCUGGAAUUGCCUUCGAUACUGAGAGUCUUGAGUUCGGAAGAGGUUGGUGGAAUUGAGAGUGUAGAGGUGAAAUUCGUAGAUAUUCGCAAGAACACCAGUGGCGAAGGCGGCCAACUGGUCCGAUACUGACGCUGAGGCGCGAAAGCGGGGGGAGCAAACAGG
RNAcentral lists this ribosomal RNA (253 nucleotides) under uncultured bacterium. RNAcentral describes it as "partial 16S ribosomal RNA". It matches the Rfam family "Bacterial small subunit ribosomal RNA", at positions 524 to 776 of the family's 1533-position model. The record is from RNAcentral.